AGCGGCGGACGGGUUAGUAACGCGUGGGAACAUACCCUUCUCUACGGAAUAGCCUCGGGAAACUGAGAGUAAUACCGUAUAAGCCCUUCGGGGGAAAGAUUUAUCGGUGAAGGAUUGGCCCGCGUAAGAUUAGAUAGUUGGUGGGGUAAUGGCCUACCAAGUCUACGAUCUUUAGCUGGUUUGAGAGGAUGAUCAGCAACACUGGGACUGAGACACGGCCCAGACUCCUACGGGAGGCAGCAGUGGGGAAUCUUAGACAAUGGGGGAAACCCUGAUCUAGCGAUGCCGCGUGUGUGACGAAGGCCUUAGGGUCGUAAAGCACUUUCGCCAAGGAUGAUAAUGACAGUACUUGGUAAAGAAACCCCGGCUAACUCCGUGCCAGCAGCCGCGGUAAUACGGAGGGGGUUAGCGUUGUUCGGAAUUACUGGGCGUAAAGCGCGCGUAGGUGGUUAAUUAAGUCAGAUGUGAAAUCCCAGGGCUUAACCCUGGAACUGCCUCAUAAACUCCUGGUCUUGAGUUCGAGAGAGGUGAGUGGAAUUCCAAGUGUAGAGGUGAAAUUCGUAGAUAUUUGGAGGAACACCAGUGGCGAAGGCGGCUCACUGGCUCGAUAUUGACGCUGAGGUACGAAAGUGUGGGGAGCAAACAGGAUU
RNAcentral lists this ribosomal RNA (650 nucleotides) under uncultured marine bacterium. Its description in RNAcentral is "bacterial SSU rRNA". It matches the Rfam family "Bacterial small subunit ribosomal RNA", at positions 94 to 779 of the family's 1533-position model. The record is from RNAcentral.